This is a long non-coding RNA of Triticum aestivum (bread wheat), 511 nucleotides long. RefSeq lists it as uncharacterized. The record is from RefSeq and is a predicted model, not a curated record. NCBI's taxonomy places the organism in Eukaryota, Viridiplantae, Streptophyta, Magnoliopsida, Poales, Poaceae. The transcript is spliced from 3 exons.
UCUCCUUCCCUCACCGCCGCCAGGUAAGGCUAGCCAUGCCACGCCGUCGCGCUGCCCGCCAUGACCCAAGCGAGCUUUAGCUCGAGCUCGGGAUAGCCCCUCGCCGCGCCUCCGACCACCUCUGCCGCCGUGGAGAAGACCGCCAAACCUGAAGACCGCCAAGUUCCGCGCGCCCUGCGUCGUGUCUGCCGUGCCUUCUGCCUCGUCUUCAUGUCCUGUGGGACUAGGUGCAUUUGCAGGUGAGGGAGUCCUGGAUUAUGGGGUCCUCGGGUGUCCGGGCUAUGCGACAUGGGCCAGACUCAUGGGCCGUGAAGAUGCAAGAUAGAAGGCUCUCUCCUGUGUUCGGAUGGGACUCUCCUUGGCGUGCAAGACAAGCUUGGCAUGCAGAUAUGAAGAUUCUUUCUCUGUAAACCGACUCUGUAUAACCCUAGCCUCCUCCGGUGUCUAUAUAAACUGGAGGGUUCAGUACGUAGAGAUAAUCAUAAUCAUACAGGCUAGACAUCUAGGGUUU